This 1324-nucleotide ribosomal RNA is filed under the name uncultured bacterium. RNAcentral describes it as "bacterial SSU rRNA". It matches the Rfam family "Bacterial small subunit ribosomal RNA", at positions 135 to 1464 of the family's 1533-position model. The record is from RNAcentral.
ACUCUGGGAUAAGCCCGGGAAAACUGGGUCUAAUACCGGAUACGAACCAAUCUCCGUAUGGGGCGUUCGGUGGAAAGCGUUAUGGAGUCGGUUUUAGAUGGGCUCACGGCCUAUCAGCUUGUUGGUGAGGUAAUGGCUUACCAAGGCGACGACGGGUAGCCGGCCUGAGAGGGUGACCGGCCACACUGGGACUGAGACACGGCCCAGACUCCUACGGGAGGCAGCAGUGGGGAAUAUUGCACAAUGGGCGCAAGCCUGAUGCAGCGACGCCGCGUGAGGGAUGACGGCCUUCGGGUUUGUAAACCUCUGUUAGCAUCGAAGAAGCGAAAGGUGACGGUAGGUGCAGAGAAAGCGCCGGCUAACUACGUGCCAGCAGCCGCGGUAAUACGUAGGGCGCGAGCGUUGUCCGGAAUUAUUGGGCGUAAAGAGCUUGUAGGCGGUUGGUCGCGUCUGCUGUGAAAGGCUGGGGCUUAACCCUGGUUUUGCAGUGGGUACGGGCUAACUAGAGUGCAGUAGGGGAGACUGGAAUUCCUGGUGUAGCGGUGGAAUGCGCAGAUAUCAGGAGGAACACCGAUGGCGAAGGCAGGUCUCUGGGCUGUAACUGACGCUGAGAAGCGAAAGCAUGGGGAGCGAACAGGAUUAGAUACCCUGGUAGUCCAUGCCGUAAACGUUGGGCACUAGGUGUGGGGGACAUUCCACGUUUUCCGCGCCGUAGCUAACGCAUUAAGUGCCCCGCCUGGGGAGUACGGCCGCAAGGCUAAAACUCAAAGAAAUUGACGGGGGCCCGCACAAGCGGCGGAGCAUGCGGAUUAAUUCGAUGCAACGCGAAGAACCUUACCAAGGCUUGACAUAUACUGGACUGCGUCAGAGAUGGCGUUUCCCUUCGGGGCUGGUAUACAGGUGGUGCAUGGUUGUCGUCAGCUCGUGUCGUGAGAUGUUGGGUCAAGUCCCGCAACGAGCGCAACCCUCGUUCUAUGUUGCCAGCACGUGAUGGUGGGGACUCAUAGGAGACUGCCGGGGUCAAACCCGGAGGAAGGUGGGGAUGACGUCAAAUCAUCAUGCCCCUUAUGUCUUGGGCUUCACGCAUGCUACAAUGGCCGGUACAGAGGGUUGCGAUACUGUGAGGUGGAGCUAAUCCCUAAAAAGCCGGUCUCAGUUCGGAUUGGGGUCUGAAACUGAACCCCAGAAGUUGGGAGUGGCUGUUAUUCGCAAUCAGGAAAGGCUGCGGUGAAUACUUUCCCGGCCUUGCACACCCCGCCCGUUCGGAGGGAGAUUCGUUGUGACCCGCAGGAACGUUGCCCCAUUGUUGGGAGAGUGACUGGUC